RNAcentral lists this long non-coding RNA (4017 nucleotides) under Sus scrofa (pig). RNAcentral's name for it is "lncRNA (ENSSSCG00030022742.1)". The record is from RNAcentral. Lineage: Eukaryota; Metazoa; Chordata; Mammalia; Artiodactyla; Suidae.
UUUUUUUUUUUUUUUUUUUUUUCCCUUUUUAGGGCUGUACAUACUGCAUUAGAAGUUCCGGGGCUAGGGAUCGAAUCUGAGCUGUAGCUGCCAGCCUCACUGCAGUCACAACAAGGUGGGAUCCGAGCCAUGUCUGCAACCUACACCACAGCCCACAGCAACGCAGGAUCCUUAACCCACUGAGUCAGGCCAGGGAUCAAACCUGCAUCCUCGUGGAUACUAGUCGGGUUCUUAACCCACUGGAGCCACAACAGGAGUUCCUCCACAAGAGUGUUUAAUGUGUACAGCCAAUUUAACAGCUUGCAUCCUGAUGCUGGAUGUGACAUUCAAGGAAACACAGGUCACGCCAACUAAGGGCGAGUUUUAAACUUUGCAGUGAAUCUGAAACACGUGUGGCUUCCGUGGGCUAUUAUACUUUUGCUUUCAGUGAGAGAGACUUUUCACGUAAGAGGCCAUCUCCAACACCAAGGCCCUGAUGACCCACAUCAUGAAACACCAUAUAAUUCUUUUAUCUAUUGGCUGACCUCUCCCUCUGCCACGUGGAAACUCAAGGUCUCAAAUGGCAAAGUCAUCGGCUGAGUGUAGGACAUGGCUACAAUGGGUAGGAGUCCUACGAUGCUCACUGAGUCAUAGAAUUAGGAUUAGAAGAUUGGAAAAUAGUCAUCAACCAGACGGGAUUUCCUGAGGAGCCCAAGUCCCUGAGCAGAUGAUCUUGAGUAUCGCGGUGAGGUGUCAGGAAAUUCAUGAAUCUGAGUGGCUCUCUGCAAAGCCUGGGGAGGGGGGGGUGAGGGGCUGGAAGGAGGUGGAAAAUGGAAGGGAGGGACGUCUGUCUGCAGCAGUUAAGGCCCCAAAAGAUCCCUUCAGUAAAGCAUCAGCAGAGGCUGAAUGGGGUAUCAGUCAAGGCCCUCACCCAUGAGAAGAUGCUCAAUAGUCUCACUGAGCGUCUACGGUUCUAUAGAGAAGAAGUAAAAAACCUCUGGGAGUUCCUGUCGUGGCUCAGCGGUUAACAAAUCCAACUAGGAACCAUGAGGUUGCAGGUUCGAUCCCUGGCCUUGCUCAGUGGGGUUAAGGAUCCGGCGUUGCUGUGAGCUGUGGUGUAGAUCACAGACACGGCUCGGAUCCUGUGUUGCUGUGGCUCUGGCAUAGGCUGGCAGCUGCAGCUCCAAUGAGACCCCUAGCCUGGGAACCUCCAUAUGCUGAGGGAGUGGCCCUAGAAAAGGCAAAAAGACAAAAAAAGAAGUAAAAAACCCCAGAAGGCCUAAAUUCGAGCUAUAAUUGCUGCCUCUCCCCCACCCCAAACCCAACCUAGGAAACAAUAAGAAACAUUGAGAGAUGUUUGUUAUAAACUUGUUUAUCCAGAGUUCCCGUAGUGGCUCAGUGGUUAACGAACCUGACUGGCAUCGAUGAGGACACAGGUUCGAUCCCUGGCCUCCCUCAGUGUUGCCGUGACCUAUGGUAUACGUUGCAGACAUGGCUUGGAUCCCGCGUUGCUAUGGCUGUGGUGUAGGCCAGUGGCUACAGCUCGGAUUUGACUCCUAGCCUAGGAACCUCCACAUGCUGAGGGUGUGGCCCUUUUCAGACAAAAGACAAAAUAAAUAAAUAAAAAUAAAUAAAUUUAUUCAUCCAUGCAUCACAGGGUCUAUUUGAAGAAUUCUUAGUGACCUUUUAAUAUUUCAAUAAGAGUAUCAAAGAGCAGCUAUUUGUUAUUCGAAUUUUAGCUACCACUUACCGAACACCCUGUGUAUUUUCCCUCCCUCUAAUUCUCCUGACAUUUGACAUGCAAAGGACAAAGGGUCAGAGAGCGUGAGGAAUCUGGUAAGGCUAGACAGUUCCCAAGUGGCAGAGCUGGGUUUUUAAGUCUGCCCUCAAAGCCUGUGCCAUUAAUUACCCACUGGAUCUGCCCUCUUCCAUUUGUGUAAGGGUCAAAUUCAGUGUUCAAAAGAUCUGAGGGAAUUCCCAUCAUGGCACAGAGGAAAUGAAUCCGACUAGGAACCAUGAGUCUUAAUUUUUGAUAUAAAAUAAUGUUAUUGUAACGUAUUUGGAAAAUGUAGAGGCUUUUAAAAAAGGAGAAAAUGAAAGUCAUCUGAUCUGCUACUACCCCGAAAUAACAAUGGUUAAUGUUGUGAUAGAUGUAUUUCCAUAAAAUUUUCUGUGCUUAUUUUUUAUAGAAUUGGGAUCAUGCAAAACCUUCAGUUUUCUAUCUUGUAUUUUAAAAAAAUUCAAUCUUAGAGCAUUUACCAUUGUAUGGAUGUGCCAUCAUUUUAAAACCAUUCUCCUGUUGCUAAAUUUUAGUUUAUCUCCUCUUUAUUUAUUUUGCUAUUUUCACAGCAAUGAUUAUAUUUUACUCCUAAAUCUUUGUCCAAUGCUGUUUUGCUAUUUCUUUAAAAUAUAUGCUUAGAGGGAAAUUGUUAUGUCAAAAUACAUGGGCAUUUUUUAUGACUCGCUGUAUUAUCAAAUGGUUUUUCAGAAAGAUUGUACCAAUUUGCAAUCCUCAGGCAGUGAUUCACUGCGCAUUUUCCCCUAUUGAGUAUGAUCUUCUUCUUUUCACUCACGUGGCCCAUUUGAGAGAUAAAAGCAAUAUCUCACUGUUGUUUUCAUUUGCAUGUCUUAGCCCAAAGAGCUCUUAAACAAGAUUUCUUCCUUAAGAUGUGUAAUUUGUUUCUAAGCCUCCUGAUUAAAAAGGCAGCAGAGAGAAACAAAUUGAUGAGGACAGAUUAUGAAAAUGAACUCAGAUUAAAAUUUAGUUCCAUAAAACCAUCGGAGAGUCUUACGAAUAUGGACAGAGAGAAAGAAGCUGUUCACUUAUGAUAAGUAUUGCAGGGGAAGAAUCUCCUAUUCAGUGGCUAUUAAUCCUUCAGGCCAUUUUCUGCAGUCUCUGCUGUUCCCCAACCCAUCGCAGAAGCUGGGGUAAAAUACAGAUGCAUCAAUUUCCUCUGAUUCCUCAUGUAUAUCUCAUUAUCAUAAUCCAACAUAUCCGCUUUUACCUAGGGUGGUGUAUUCCACAGCAACAAGCUAAAACUCUUUCCUAAAUAUUUGUAUUGAAGGUUGAAUGAUACCGGAAUAAGAAUAAAGCUGCCAUGUCCUAAGAGCCAGGCAUCACGCCAGGUGAUUUACAUACACAGUGAACUCUUUCGACACUGCAUGGAGGCAACUACUGGACCCAUUUCACUGAUGAGAAAACUGAGGUUCAGAGAGGUUUUGCUGUACCCAUGCAGCUAUUAAAUGAAUAAUCUGAAACUCACAUCUGGCUGUCUGGUAGGAAAGCCAAGGCUCUCGCCCCCAAAUCUCACUCUUUCAGAUGUCACUUGAUAUUAAUAUUCUGUGUGACAAUGUAUUAUCACUACGUUUCAAAUGCAAGAAAGGAAAGGGUGGGAAAGAUUAGAGAAAUGACAGAGGACUUCCUGGAAGCUGGAUCAUUAGAACUGGUCUUAGAAAAUAGCCCAUGUUUUAAUUAGCAGACAGGGGGAAGAUGGACUAUGAUGAUAAUAUAGCAUCAUGACUGUGAUGAAAAUUAUAUAUCAUGACUAUGAUGAUAAUGUAUGAUGACUAUGAUGAUAACAUAUCAUCAUAUAAUAUCAUAGUGUAAUAUAGCUGUUUCACAGUAUCUCAACAAAAUACCUUAAAUACUGAAGCUGAUGAAAGUCUUAGUAUUACGAUUAGAUCAGAAAGAAUAGCCUGAGCUUUUAAAGCAAACACUUCAAGCAUCCUUCUCUCUGACCUUUCCAACAAUUCUUCCAUUUCAUUCUACCUUUCAAUCAUCAAGGCUUUUCCACUCUCCAGAAUCAAACUUUCUUCAAUUCCUUACACACUUGGGGUUCUCUAUCCCACCACUGUGGUCAGUGCCUGGUCAACACCCUCAAUGACUGCGGGAUCUCUUAUCCCGCAUUCUAAUCUGACCAGCCUUAGGUUCCCCAAUACAUCCGCCUCCUCUGUACCAGCACCCUGGCAACUAGAGGAAAUGACCAUUUCACCAACUGCUCUCACGUUACAUUCCUAACCAAAAAAAAAAAAAAAAAA